AAUAUGGCACAAUGGGCGCAAGCCUGAUGCAGCGACGCCGCGUGAGCGAAGAAGGUCAUCGGAUCGUCACGCUCUGUCCUCUGGGAAGAAAAAAAUGACGGUACCAGAGGAGGAAGCCCCGGCUAACCACGUGCCAGCAGCCGCGGGAAUACGCAGGGGGCUAGCGUUGUCCGGAUUUACUGGGCGUAAAGGGUGAGUAGGCGGUAACGUGUGUCAGAUGUUUAAUCUAUGGGGUCAACCCAUAUCGGCAUUUGAAACUACGUGACUUGAGUGCAGGAGAGGUAAGUGGAAUUCCUAGUGUAGCGGUGGAAUGCGUAGAUAUUAGGAGGAACGCCAGUGGCGAAGGCGACUUACUGGACUGCAACUGACGCUGAGUCACGAAAGCGUGGGGAGCAAACAGG
Molecule: ribosomal RNA, 401 nt
Filed under: uncultured bacterium
Lineage: Bacteria
Description: partial 16S ribosomal RNA
Rfam family: Bacterial small subunit ribosomal RNA
Source: RNAcentral